This is a long non-coding RNA of Trifolium pratense (red clover), 797 nucleotides long. RefSeq lists it as uncharacterized. The record is from RefSeq and is a predicted model, not a curated record. The transcript is spliced from 3 exons. NCBI's taxonomy places the organism in Eukaryota, Viridiplantae, Streptophyta, Magnoliopsida, Fabales, Fabaceae.
CUUACUUCAGCUUGCAAAAAUUUAGUGCUACUAAUUUGAUUCAUUUGUUGUGAUUCAAUAAUUAAAUAAUCAUAUAAUAAUGUCGAAAUCACACAUAUCUUGAUAGUACUACAUUUGAUAAUUUUUUAGUGCUAUUAAGCUGAUUGAUUUUAGUAGUAAUGCAUUUGAUAGUUGAUUCAUUUCAAUUGAGUACACUAAAUAUAUGCAGUAACCUCUUUUAACUAUAUUUGAUUGACAAUAUGUAGCAAGGUGCAGAAUUCUCAGGCAAGGGAAGAUUUUUGGUUUGACCUGGAAUGAGAUGAAGAAAUUGGCCUUAAAGUUUGUUUAAGAGUGCAAAAGAGCAAGGAAUUGGAUUCCAUCAUGGAAAGCCUAUUGCUGCAUUCACCAUUUACAAAUGUCUUCUCCACCGGAAAUCAUUUGAAGCUGAAAGGACAAGUGUAUUUGAUCGCCUUAUACAAAUGAUUGGUUCUGCAAUUGAGAAUCAAGAUGACAAUGAUCUCAUGGCUUACUGGCUGUCAAAUACAUCUACACUAUUGUUUCUGCUCCAACAAAGUUUAAAAUCCGGUUGUUCAAAUGACGCAACCUGAUGGCUAACUAAAUACAAAUUAACCAUUUUCACAAUAUUUGAUGAAGUUUAAGCUUGUAUUUGGAAAGGGUAAAAUGGAGUACGAAAAUUACUUAUAAAAAUAUAGUUAUGACAGAAUGAAACAUAGAAAUAACGUGAAGAAUGAGGUGGAAAAGGUCAGAAAUGGGGCGCCACACUCUUUCUAUUGAUUAGAAAGGAUGAUAAGCCCAAA